Molecule: ribosomal RNA, 332 nt
Filed under: Nanos hanskii
Lineage: Eukaryota; Metazoa; Arthropoda; Insecta; Coleoptera; Scarabaeidae
Description: eukaryotic LSU rRNA
Rfam family: Eukaryotic large subunit ribosomal RNA
Source: RNAcentral
GAAACACGGACCAAGGAGUCUAGCAUGUGCGCGAGUCAUUGGGACUCCGUUAAACCUAAAGGCGCAAUGAAAGUAAAGGUCCGCCUCGCGCGGACCGAGGGAGGAUGGGUCCGUCCCCGGACGGGCCCCGCACUCCCGGGGCGUCUCGUUCUCAUCGCGAGGAGAGGCGCACCCAGAGCGUACACGCUGGGACCCGAAAGAUGGUGAACUAUGCCUGGUCAGGACGAAGUCAGGGGAAACCCUGAUGGAGGUCCGUAGCGAUUCUGACGUGCAAAUCGAUCGUCGGAACUGGGUAUAGGGGCGAAAGACUAAUCGAACCUUCUAGUAGCUGG